GAUCGCAUGAUUUUUAGAUGAAAGAUGGCUCUGCUAUCGCUUUUAGAUGGACCCGCGGCGUAUUAACUAGUUGGUGGGGUAACGGCCUACCAAGGUGAUGAUACGUAGCCGAACUGAGAGGUUGAUCGGCCACAUUGGGACUGAGACACGGCCCAAACUCCUACGGGAGGCAGCAGUAGGGAAUCUUCCACAAUGGACGCAAGUCUGAUGGAGCAACGCCGCGUGAGUGAAGAAGGUCUUCGGAUCGUAAAACUCUGUUGUUAGAGAAGAACACGAGUGAGAGUAACUGUUCAUUCGAUGACGGUAUCUAACCAGCAAGUCACGGCUAACUACGUGCCAGCAGCCGCGGUAAUACGUAGGUGGCAAGCGUUGUCCGGAUUUAUUGGGCGUAAAGGGAACGCAGGCGGUCUUUUAAGUCUGAUGUGAAAGCCUUCGGCUUAACCGGAGUAGUGCAUUGGAAACUGGAAGACUUGAGUGCAGAAGAGGAGAGUGGAACUCCAUGUGUAGCGGUGAAAUGCGUAGAUAUAUGGAAGAACACCAGUGGCGAAAGCGGCUCUCUGGUCUGUAACUGACGCUGAGGUUCGAAAGCG
This 590-nucleotide ribosomal RNA is filed under the name Ligilactobacillus salivarius. RNAcentral describes it as "bacterial SSU rRNA". It matches the Rfam family "Bacterial small subunit ribosomal RNA", at positions 184 to 761 of the family's 1533-position model. The record is from RNAcentral. Lineage: Bacteria; Bacillati; Bacillota; Bacilli; Lactobacillales; Lactobacillaceae.